RNAcentral lists this non-coding RNA (28 nucleotides) under Cricetulus griseus (Chinese hamster). The record is from RNAcentral. Lineage: Eukaryota; Metazoa; Chordata; Mammalia; Rodentia; Cricetidae.
CUGGCCUGGAGCUAACUAUGUAGACUGG